RNAcentral lists this ribosomal RNA (874 nucleotides) under uncultured bacterium. RNAcentral's name for it is "bacterial SSU rRNA". It matches the Rfam family "Bacterial small subunit ribosomal RNA", at positions 626 to 1506 of the family's 1533-position model. The record is from RNAcentral.
UUUGAUACUGUAAGUCUGAAUGUGUAGAGGUACUGGAAUUGCUGGUGUAGUGGUGAAAUACGUAGAUAUCAGCAGGAACACGGAGGCGAAGGCGGGUAACUGGCCAACAUGACGCUGAGACCCGAAAGCGUGGGGAUCAAACAGGAUUAGAUACCCUGGUAGUCCACGCCGUAAACGAUGGAUACUUGUUGUUAGAGGUAUUGACCCCUCUAGUGACGUAGCUAACGCGUUAAGUAUCCCGCCUGGGGAGUACGGUCGCAAGAUUAAAACUCAAAGAAAUUGACGGGGGCCCGCACAAGCGGUGGAGCAUGUGGUUUAAUUCGAUGCAACGCGAAGAACCUUACCUGGGCUUGACAUGAACUGGAAGAGUGGCGGAGACGUCCUCGCCCGCAAGGGUCGGUUCACAGGUGCUGCAUGGCUGUCGUCAGCUCGUGUCGUGAGAUGUUGGGUUAAGUCCCGCAACGAGCGCAACCCUUACCUUUAGUUGCCAGCAUUUAGUUGGGCACUCUAAUGGGACUGCCUGCGUUAAGCAGGAGGAAGGUGGGGAUGACGUCAAGUCCUCAUGGCCCUUAUGUCCAGGGCUACACACGUGCUACAAUGGUGGUCACAGAGGGAAGCCAAACCGCAAGGUGGAGCAAAUCCCUUAAAAGCCAUCUAAGUUCAGAUUGGUCUCUGCAACUCGAGACCAUGAAGUUGGAAUCGCUAGUAAUCGCGGAUCAGAACGCCGCGGUGAAUACGUUCCCGGGCCUUGUACACACCGCCCGUCACACCAUGAAAGUUGGUCGUACCAGAAGUCGCUGUGCUAACCGCAAGGAGGUAGGCGCCCAAGGUAUGGUCGAUGAUUGGGGUGAAGUCGUAACAAGGUAACCAAGGG